This is a non-coding RNA of Macaca mulatta (Rhesus monkey), 2859 nucleotides long. The record is from RefSeq and is a predicted model, not a curated record. NCBI's taxonomy places the organism in Eukaryota, Metazoa, Chordata, Mammalia, Primates, Cercopithecidae.
GCUAGGACAGCGCGGAGCUCCGGCGGCGGGCGGGGCGGGGCGUGGCGCCGCGCGUAGAGGCAGGCGGCGGCGGGAUGGAGUCCGAGCCCGAGCCCGCGGCCGUUGAGGUUCCCGCCGGGCGCGUGCUCAGCGCCCGGGAGCUCUUCGCCGCCCGCUCGCGGUCGCAGAAGCUGCCCCAGCGCUCGCAUGGCCCCAAGGACUUUCUGCCCGACGGCUCGGCGGCUCAGGCCGAGCGGCUGCGCCGAUGCCGGGAAGAGCUCUGGCAGCUGCUGGCCGAGCAGCGCGUGGAGCGCCUGGGCAGCUUGGUGGCUGCCGAGUGGAGGCCGGAAGAGGGCUUCGUGGAGCUGAAGUCUCCUGCGGGCUCCAUCCACCUCUUCCACCAAGACCUGCCACUGUCUAUCCAGGAAGCUUACCAGCUGCUGCUGACGGACGACACUGUGACCUUCUUGCAGUACCAGGUCUUCAGCCACCUGAAGAGGUUGGGUUAUGUGGUUCGACGAUUCCAACCAAGCUCUGUCCUGUCCCCGUAUGAGAGGCAGCUUAACCUGGAUGCCAGCGUGCAGCACUUGGAGGAUGGAGAUGGCAAGAGAAAGAGGAGCAGCUCCAGCCCUCGGUCCAUUAAUAAGAAGGCCAAGGCCCUGGACAACUCCCUGCAACCCAAGAGUCUGGCAGCCUCCAGCCCACCUCCCUGCAGCCAGCCCAGCCAAUGCCCAGAGGAGAAACCCCAGGAGUCAAGCCCCAUAAAGGGCCCAGGGGGCCCCUUUAAGCUUCUGGGGUCCCUGGGGCCCAGCCCUGGCCCGGCCAGGGAGGGGGUGGGGUGCAGCUGGGAGAGUGGCAGAGCCGAGAACGGAGUCACGGGGGCCGGUAAGCGGCGCUGGAACUUCGAGCAGAUCUCCUUCCCCAACAUGGCUUCAGACAGCCGCCACACCCUCCUGCGCGCCCCAGCCCCAGAACUGCUCCCGGCCAACGUGGCUGGACGGGAGACAGAUGCUGAGUCCUGGUGCCAGAAGCUGAACCAGCGCAAGGAGAAGCUCUCGAGGCGGGAACGGGAGCACCACGUGGAGGCCGCGCGGUUCCGGGAAGAUGUCAACGCUGAUCCCGAGGUGCAGAGCUGUUCCAGCUGGCGGGAGUACAAGGAGCUGCUGCAGCGGCGGCACCUGCAGAGGAGCCAGAGCCGGGCCCCUCACCUGUGGGGCCAGUCCGUCACCCCUCUGCUGAGUCCCGGCCAGGCCAGCUCCCCAGGUACCCCCUCAGCCUGCCACAUCCUCGAGGGCCACUGGCAGCUGAGGAAUCACAGGACUUUGGAAAGGGCAUGGAUGAACCGGGAUGGAUUGAGGCUUAAGAAAGAUGUGGGAGGAGGGAGCGGACCCACAAGGACGGUCAGUUCUCCCGCGGCUGCAGCAGGGCCUGUGUGGGAAUGAUUAGAGAUGGUGAGUCAGGAGAGGUAAGGAGGGGUAAAAACUAUAGCCAUAUCCUUAAAAUCAUAAACAACAUGCAUGUGGAUGACUUUGCCACCAACUAGCUGUGAUCGCAACCUGUUAGAUGGAAAAAGGAGGUGCCUUCUUGGCCAAGUGAAAGAAAGGCUUGCUGUCUGCUCUAAGCACAGGGAACCAAUGGGGAAAGAAUAAGCUCAGUGUGUUACCGGAUCCCAAAUUACUUAAAGCCUUCAUGGGAAUGCGGUAGAUUGUAGGUAACUAGAUAGGGUUGCCAGAUCAGUUCAAUUUGACUUUCAGUAUAAAUCUAAUUUUUCACUAUCAGUAUGUUCCAAAAAUUGCAUGGGAUAUGCUUAUACUAAAAAAAAAAAACACACACACAAAAAUGUUGCUAGGCUGGACACGGCUCAUGCCUGUAAUCCCAGCACUUUGGGAAGCCAAGGUGGGCAGAUCACCUGAGGUCAGGAGUUCGAAACCAACCUGGCCAACAUGGUGGAACCCCGUCUCUACUAAAAAUACAAAAAUUAGCCAGGUGUGGUGGUGCAAAUGUGUAAUCCCAGCUACUCAGGAGGCUGAGGCAGGAGAACUGCUUGAACCUGGGAGGCGGAGGUCGCAGUGAGCCAAGAUCAUGCCACUAUACUCCAGCCUGGGUGACAGAGAGAGACUCUUGUUUAAAAAAAAAAGGAAAACAAAAGUUGCUAAAUCUGGCCAUCCUAGAUGGCAGACUGAGAAAUGUGACUCCCCUCCCAGGACCUUGUUUUCUCUGUCCUUGUAGCUGUGGUCCUUCAGCAUAUUUCUGUGCUGCAGACAACACACCUUGCUGAUGGAGGUGCCCAGCUGCUGGAGAAGUCUGGGGGCUUGGAAAUCAGCUUUGAUGUUUACCAGGCUGACGCUGUGGCCACAUUCCGAAAGAAUAACCCUGGCAAACCCUAUGCCCGGAUGUGUAUUAGUGGAUUUGAUGAGCCUGUCCCAGACCUCUGCAGCCUCAAGCGGUUGUCUUACCAGAGUGGGGAUGUCCCUCUGGUCUUUGCUCUGGUGGAUCAUGGUGACAUCUCCUUCUACAGCUUCAGGGACUUCACGUUGCCCCAGGAUGUAGAGCACUGACCUCACAGCUCUGCAGGGGAUAGAGCUCGCUCCAGGGGACCGGGACUGUCUGUUCUCAGGGACCAUCUCGGCUGCCUCCUGUACCGACUCUAACCUGUAGCUUCAGGGGCCAGUAUGGGCCUUGGCCCUGAGUGUCUGAUACUCCCAGAGUAAAACUGUGACCCUCUCCCCUUCCCUGCUGCCUUGCAGUGACCCCUCUGGAACUCAGGACUCGAUUUUAAGGACCCAGGAGGUGGGGCAGAAGAGAGGACUCUGUGCCUUUAAAGAGAGGGUGCCUGCUUCGUGCCAUAAAGCCAAAGCCAUUAAAAAUAGAUUUCUUUUC